This 255-nucleotide ribosomal RNA is filed under the name uncultured bacterium. Its description in RNAcentral is "partial 16S ribosomal RNA". It matches the Rfam family "Bacterial small subunit ribosomal RNA", at positions 524 to 776 of the family's 1533-position model. The record is from RNAcentral.
UACGGGGGGGUAAGGCGUUGUUCGGAAUUACUGGGCGUAAAGGGCUCGUAGGCGGCCAACUAAGUCAGACGUGAAAUCCCUCAGCUUAACUGGGGAACUGCGUCUGAUACUGGAUGGCUUGGAUUCGGGAGAGGAAUGCGGAAUUCCGGGGUGUAGCGGUGGAAUGCGUAGAGAGUCCGGAAGAACACCGGUGGCGAAGGCGGCCUGCUGGGCAGUAGCUGACACUGAGGCGCGACAGCGUGGGGAGCAAACAGG